UAGGGAAUCUUCCACAAUGGACGCAAGUCUGAUGGAGCAACGCCGCGUGAGUGAAGAAGGUUUUCGGAUCGUAAAGCUCUGUUGUUGGUGAAGAAGGAUAGAGGUAGUAACUGGCCUUUAUUUGACGGUAAUCAACCAGAAAGUCACGGCUAACUACGUGCCAGCAGCCGCGGUAAUACGUAGGUGGCAAGCGUUAUCCGGAUUUAUUGGGCGUAAAGCGAGCGCAGGCGGUUGCUUAGGUCUGAUGUGAAAGCCUUCGGCUUAACCGAAGAAGUGCAUCGGAAACCGGGCGACUUGAGUGCAGAAGAGGACAGUGGAACUCCAUGUGUAGCGGUGGAAUGCGUAGAUAUAUGGAAGAACACCAGUGGCGAAGGCGGCUCUCUGGUCUGCAACUGACGCUGAGGCUCGAAAGCAUGGGUAGCGAACAGG
RNAcentral lists this ribosomal RNA (429 nucleotides) under uncultured Lactobacillus sp. RNAcentral describes it as "bacterial SSU rRNA". It matches the Rfam family "Bacterial small subunit ribosomal RNA", at positions 355 to 776 of the family's 1533-position model. Lineage: Bacteria; Bacillati; Bacillota; Bacilli; Lactobacillales; Lactobacillaceae. The record is from RNAcentral.